AGUGAACGCUGGCGGUAGGCCUAACACAUGCAAGUCGAACGGCAGCACAGUAAGAGCUUGCCCUUACGGGUGGCGAGUGGCGGACGGGUGAGGAAUACAUCGGAAUCUACUUUUUCGUGGGGGAUAACGUAGGGAAACUUACGCUAAUACCGCAUACGACCUACGGGUGAAAGCAGGGGAUCUUCGGACCUUGCGCGAUUGAAUGAGCCGAUGUCGGAUUAGCUAGUUGGCGGGGUAAAGGCCCACCAAGGCGACGAUCCGUAGCUGGUCUGAGAGGAUGGUCAGCCACACUGGAACUGAGACACGGUCCAGGCUCCUACGGGAGGCAGCAGUGGGGAAUGUUGGACAAUGGGCGCGAGCCUGAUCCAGCCAUACCGCGUGGGUGAAGAAGGCCUUCGGGUUGUAAAGCCCUUUUGUUGGGAAAGAAAAGCAGCAGGUUAAUACCCCGCUGUUCUGACGGUACCCAAAGAAUAAGCACCGGCUAACUUCGUG
Molecule: ribosomal RNA, 492 nt
Filed under: uncultured bacterium
Lineage: Bacteria
Description: partial 16S ribosomal RNA
Rfam family: Bacterial small subunit ribosomal RNA
Source: RNAcentral